GUAGGUGGCAAGCGUUGUCCGGAAUUAUUGGGCGUAAGGCGCGCGCAGGUGGUUCUUUAAGUCUGAUGUGAAAGCCCCCGGGCUCAACCGGGGAGGGUCAUUGGAAACUGGGGAACUUGAGUGCAGGAGAGGAAAGUGGAAUUCCACGUGUAGCGGUGAAAUGCGUAGAUAUGUGGAGGAACACCAGUGGCGAAGGCGACUUUCUGGCCUGUAACUGACACUGAGGCGCGAAAGCGUGGGGAGCAAACAGGAUUAGAUACCCUGGUAGUCCACGCCGUAAACGAUGAGUGCUAAGUGUUGGGGGGUUUCCGCCCCUCAGUGCUGCAGCUAACGCAUUAAGCACUCCGCCUGGGGAGUACGGUCGCAAAGACUG
This 373-nucleotide ribosomal RNA is filed under the name uncultured organism. Its description in RNAcentral is "partial 16S ribosomal RNA". It matches the Rfam family "Bacterial small subunit ribosomal RNA", at positions 527 to 896 of the family's 1533-position model. The record is from RNAcentral.